UACAGAGGUCUCAAGCGUUGUUCGGAUUCAUUGGGCGUAAAGGGUGCGUAGGCGGCGCGGUAAGUCGGGUGUGAAAUCUUGGAGUUUAACUCCGAAACUGCAUUCGAUACUGCCGUGCUUGAGGACUGGAGAGGAGACUGGAAUUUACGGUGUAGCGGUGAAAUGCGUAGAUAUCGUAAGGAAGACCAGUGGCGAAGGCGGGUCUCUGGACAGUUCCUGACGCUGAGGCACGAAGGCCAGGGGAGCAAACGGG
Molecule: ribosomal RNA, 253 nt
Filed under: uncultured bacterium
Lineage: Bacteria
Description: partial 16S ribosomal RNA
Rfam family: Bacterial small subunit ribosomal RNA
Source: RNAcentral